Molecule: ribosomal RNA, 264 nt
Filed under: uncultured bacterium
Lineage: Bacteria
Description: partial 16S ribosomal RNA
Rfam family: Bacterial small subunit ribosomal RNA
Source: RNAcentral
CGGGACUGGUGAGUAACGACGUGAGGAACCUAGCCUUUCGUAGGGGGACGGAACAAGUUGGUAAACGAACUGCUAAUAACCGCAUAAUACAUUUGGGCCGCAUGGUCUGAAUGUCAAAGAUUUAUCGCCGAAAGAUGGCCUCGCGUCUGAUUAGCUAGUUGGUGGGGUAACGGCCCACCAAGGCGACGAUCAGUAGCCGGACUGAGAGGUUGGCCGGCCACAUUGGGACUGAGAUACGGCCCAGACUCCUACGGGAGGCAGCAG